GUCUACGGCCAUACCACUCUGAACGCGCCCGAUCUUGUCAGAUCUCAGAAGCUAAGCAGGGUUGGACCUGGUUAGUACUUGGAUGGGAGAAAGCUCACUCGAUACG
This 106-nucleotide ribosomal RNA is filed under the name Cavia aperea (Brazilian guinea pig). Lineage: Eukaryota; Metazoa; Chordata; Mammalia; Rodentia; Caviidae. The record is from RNAcentral.